CGAAUACACUUGACAGCUGAGGGAACCAAAGUCCAGUGAGAAUAAGCGACCUGUCUGGUAUCAAUUUUUAAUUAUUUAUUGUGCAUUAUAGUUUCAAGUACCUUUUCUGUAUUAUUAACUAAAUUAUACAGAGAAACUAUUCUUUGCAGUUCAUUAAAAUCCCUAGACUGUCUAGAACAGGCCCUUUUGUAAGAAGUAUUCAUAAAUAGAUGAUUUUAUUUUAUGCUUUAAUUCACAUCAAUAUGGUUUUACAUUUUCCUGUGCUGAACUUCAGAUAAAGGCCUAUGGCCUCUCCUAAAUUGUGUUCAAUUAGCUUUGAGAAUAGAAAUAUAGAUCCUAAACUAACAAGCUGAUUUUUUUUCCUCUGUUGUGAAACCAGCAACCUAAUAUUCGCCUAUAUGUGAAUAAAGUAUGUAUAGAAGUACAUUGCAUUCACAAUUCAUAUACCAGACAAGGUAUAUGAAUUACGUUCUAAUGGAAGGAGUCAAACACAUACAUAAACACCAAAGAUAAAGUAUUUCAGGUAUUGGUAAAUAUUGGAGAAAACAAUGUAUUUUGGCCAUGAGUAAUUACAAUUUUAUGGCAGGUGUUGGGAAAGCCAAACUAUACAAUCAUAUUUUAAUAAUUUCCUGAGAGAGAUGAGGGACACUGGCAUGCAGUUAAAUAAGGGAAGAGCAUCUUGUCAAAAGGAAGAGGGAAAGCUCUAGGAUGGAGUCCAUCUGGAAUAGCAGAGUGAAGAGUAUGGUGGAGCAGAGGGAACAAAGGGAAGUCCUGGUAGUGAAGGCAAUAGAAAAAGGCAAUAGAAAAAGGUCCUGGUAGUGAAGGCAAUAGAAAAAGGAAGAAUAAGGGAGAAAAUUUCUAUUUAGCUAGGGUACUCCAGGCUUUUAUCCUCAGUGAGAUGGGAAGCAGAUGAUACUGAGAUGAAGAGUGAUGUGAUUUGACUUCAUUUUCAAAGGUUUAGUCUGUGCUGUGAGCAGCAUUCAGUGUGGCUAAUACACACACAGAAGCAUAAAAAUUAGGUAGGAGGCACUAUCAAUAAUCCAGAUAAGACUUCCUGUUGGCUUAGAUGAGAGAGGUAGCAAUGAGAGACUAAGAAGUUCUAGCUAUAUUCUGAGUAUAUAACUCACAAGAUUCCCUGAUGAAUUAGAUGAAAGCAUAUGAGAGAGGAAUCAAGAAUGACCCACACCUGACUGGAGAAACUUGAAGAGUGCCAUUGUCAUAGAUCAGGUUGGAGAACACUGCAUAACACAUGCUAAAGCUCAGACAGAGCUUCUACCCACAGCAAAGAUGGUAAAUGAGAAAACUAUUGAAAAAAAGCUUUAUUUAUAGUUGUAUGGCAAAAAGUAGUUGCCACUCAACUUAAAAUUAUGUCUCUGCUAUAUGACAGAAGGUAUGACUGAGCCUUGUUUCCAUUAUUUUCAAACACAUCAUCAUUCACAUACUGCUGGUAUUAGCCUUAACGCAGAUUGAAGAUUUUUUUUUUUCUGAAGGCAUUAUUUAUGUCUUCAUAUCAUUAGGAAAAUAAAAAUAGUUGUCUAAUUCAUGACCUCCCUAAUUGUCCUCUCAUGCUGAGGACAUUUGCCUGCUUCCUAUCUUUAGCUGAGGCAACACUGUAAAAUUCCAUUUAUUAAUAUGAUAUGGCCAAUAUAACCAAAUGGACAGCUGUUCACACUGGGUUAAAGGAUAUAAUACCCAAAAGCUCUCUGAAGAGGUCUAUGUUUUCUUAAAACAAAUAUUAUAAACUAUUAUAUGUAUUUGAAUAGAUAGGUUAGGAAAAGAUGAACCAAAGAUUUUACCUCCUUCCCUGUGAGAUGUCAGCCUGUAAGCUGAACCCAGUCUCACUGUGGGUCUCUAAGUGAGGCAUUGUGAGAGGCUGCAUUCCUAAACCUAUACCUCUUAGAAUUUCCCUGUGCUGUAUUGUAGGACCUUGUUGUUUAUCCAUUCUAAAUGUAGUAGUCUGCAUCUAAUAACCCCAAACUCCCAGUCUAUCUCACUCUCUCCCCAUAGAGACAUAUAAUAUAGUAUUUCUAAAGUAAUGAUUAUAACCAAAUAUAUUCAUUCAUUAGGAUCAUGGUAACUGAAUAUAGUUAUUAUAAUAAAAUAGCUACAACUGAUAUAAAUACAGCAGUGAUCUGUGAGGAUGCUAAAAUACAGUCUUGAAACUCUUUAAAAUAUAUUUCAAAUAAGGUUCUGCCAAUGAAAUGAUCAAUAUUGUGAGGAUAUGCUAAUUUCUGGGAAUAAGCUUCUUGCAUGAGAAUUCAAAUAGUUACCUUAUCUAUAUAUUAACCACUAACCUAUUUACCUAUUUAUGGAAUGAAUCACUAAAAAAUUAGCAACUGCAGAGUUUUAUCAUCAAAUAAAACUAAAAAGUAAUUAAGUUUACAGACCAUACAGCUUAAGUAUCAAGAGUUAGGAUUUUUUUUUUUUAGGGCUGCACCCAGGGCAUAUGGAGGUUCCCAGGCUCGGGGCCUAAUCCGAGCUACAGCUGCUGGCCUAUGCCAGAGCCACAGCAAUGCCAGAUCCCAGCCAUGUCUGCGACCUAAACCACAGUUCACUGCAAUGCUGGAUCCUCAUCCCACUGAGCGAGGCCAGGGAUCGAACCCUCAACCUUGUGGUUCCUACUUGGAUUUGUUUCCACUGCUCCACAAUGGGAACUCCAGGAUUUUUUUUUUAAGGCUAUACCUGCAGCAUAUGGAAGUUCCCAUUCUAGGAGUCAAAUCGGAGCUGCAGCUCUCAGCGUAUGGCACAGCCACAACACCACCAGAUCCAAGCUGCCUCUGAAAAUUUCACCACAGCUCAUAGUAACGCGGGAACCUUAACCCACUGAGUGAGGUCAGGGAUUGAAAUUGCAUCCUCAUGGACACCACGUUGUGUUCUUAACCCUCUGAGCCGCAAUAGGAACUCCCAACAGUUAGGAUUUUUUAGAACAAGGACCUUUUUGGUGCAGAUUUAUGAGAUGUUUUAUUUUCUUUUUGAAAAGUAUUGAUUUUGAAAGCCUUCUAAAUAAAUGGAACUGAUCUAUCUAUUCUUGAAUCACUGAGAGUAGGUCACCUGUAGACAGCAAAUGAUUUUUAUUUCCUAGAGGUAUAUUUUGUUGAAGAGAAAACAAAGGCAAAAGAAAGCUUAAUUUAUAAUGCCACAUGAAAUUACUGGAAUUCAGCAUUUAAGAAUUUAUGCUGUAUAUAAUAUGAGAACACACUAGCUUCUGAAAUGAAACAAAUAGACUGAUUCUGUUUUAAUCCAAUAAAUACUAUGAAAUAAACCAUAAACAGAACAAUGAAAAAAAUUCUAUUAAAUAGAGAUAUUUCAUUCACAAUCAUACCAGCUACAUUUCUUAUUUGGUAAUGGUUUAAAAAUUAAAAUACACAAUUUAAAAUAAUAAAUCAUUAAGGAUACAGAACUAUUUCUUCUGAGUUAAAAUAGAUAAUGAAAAGGACAACUAAAAUAAGGUCUUUGUUAUUGGUAAAUAU
This 3470-nucleotide long non-coding RNA is filed under the name Sus scrofa (pig). RNAcentral describes it as "lncRNA (ENSSSCG00030011018.1)". Lineage: Eukaryota; Metazoa; Chordata; Mammalia; Artiodactyla; Suidae. The record is from RNAcentral.